Molecule: ribosomal RNA, 2921 nt
Filed under: Klebsiella pneumoniae
Lineage: Bacteria; Pseudomonadati; Pseudomonadota; Gammaproteobacteria; Enterobacterales; Enterobacteriaceae
Description: 23S ribosomal RNA
Rfam family: Bacterial large subunit ribosomal RNA
Source: RNAcentral
GGGUUGUGAGGUUAAGCGACUAAGCGUACACGGUGGAUGCCCUGGCAGUCAGAGGCGAUGAAGGACGUGCUAAUCUGCGAAAAGCGUCGGUAAGGUGAUAUGAACCGUUAUAACCGGCGAUGUCCGAAUGGGGAAACCCAGUGCAAUUCGUUGCACUAUCGUUAACUGAAUACAUAGGUUAACGAGGCGAACCGGGGGAACUGAAACAUCUAAGUACCCCGAGGAAAAGAAAUCAACCGAGAUUCCCCAGUAGCGGCGAGCGAACGGGGAGCAGCCCAGAGUCUGAAUCAGCUUGUGUGUUAGUGGAACGGUCUGGAAAGUCCGACGGUACAGGGUGAUAGUCCCGUACACCAAAAUGCACAGGCUGUGAACUCGAAGAGUAGGGCGGGACACGUGGUAUCCUGUCUGAAUAUGGGGGGACCAUCCUCCAAGGCUAAAUACUCCUGACUGACCGAUAGUGAACCAGUACCGUGAGGGAAAGGCGAAAAGAACCCCGGCGAGGGGAGUGAAAAAGAACCUGAAACCGUGUACGUACAAGCAGUGGGAGCACCUUCGGGUGUGACUGCGUACCUUUUGUAUAAUGGGUCAGCGACUUAUAUUCUGUAGCAAGGUUAACCGUAUAGGGGAGCCGCAGGGAAACCGAGUCUUAACUGGGCGUUAAGUUGCAGGGUAUAGACCCGAAACCCGGUGAUCUAGCCAUGGGCAGGUUGAAGGUUGGGUAACACUAACUGGAGGACCGAACCGACUAAUGUUGAAAAAUUAGCGGAUGACUUGUGGCUGGGGGUGAAAGGCCAAUCAAACCGGGAGAUAGCUGGUUCUCCCCGAAAGCUAUUUAGGUAGCGCCUCGUGAACUCAUCUUCGGGGGUAGAGCACUGUUUCGGCUAGGGGGUCAUCCCGACUUACCAACCCGAUGCAAACUACGAAUACCGAAGAAUGUUAUCACGGGAGACACACGGCGGGUGCUAACGUCCGUCGUGAAGAGGGAAACAACCCAGACCGCCAGCUAAGGUCCCAAAGUCAUGGUUAAGUGGGAAACGAUGUGGGAAGGCACAGACAGCCAGGAUGUUGGCUUAGAAGCAGCCAUCAUUUAAAGAAAGCGUAAUAGCUCACUGGUCGAGUCGGCCUGCGCGGAAGAUGUAACGGGGCUAAACCAUGCACCGAAGCUGCGGCAGCGACACUAUGUGUUGUUGGGUAGGGGAGCGUUCUGUAAGCCUGCGAAGGUGUGCUGUGAGGCAUGCUGGAGGUAUCAGAAGUGCGAAUGCUGACAUAAGUAACGAUAAAGCGGGUGAAAAGCCCGCUCGCCGGAAGACCAAGGGUUCCUGUCCAACGUUAAUCGGGGCAGGGUGAGUCGACCCCUAAGGCGAGGCCGAAAGGCGUAGUCGAUGGGAAACAGGUUAAUAUUCCUGUACUUGGUGUUACUGCGAAGGGGGACGGAGAAGGCUAUGUUAGCCGGGCGACGGUUGUCCCGGUUUAAGCAUGUAGGCUGAUUGUCCAGGCAAAUCCGGAUAAUCAAGGCUGAGGUGUGAUGACGAGGCACUACGGUGCUGAAGUAACAAAUGCCCUGCUUCCAGGAAAAGCCUCUAAGCAUCAGGUAACAUUAAAUCGUACCCCAAACCGACACAGGUGGUCAGGUAGAGAAUACCAAGGCGCUUGAGAGAACUCGGGUGAAGGAACUAGGCAAAAUGGUGCCGUAACUUCGGGAGAAGGCACGCUGGUGUGUAGGUGAAGUCCCUGCGGAUGGAGCUGAGACCAGUCGAAGAUACCAGCUGGCUGCAACUGUUUAUUAAAAACACAGCACUGUGCAAACACGAAAGUGGACGUAUACGGUGUGACGCCUGCCCGGUGCCGGAAGGUUAAUUGAUGGGGUUAUCCGUAAGGAGAAGCUCUUGAUCGAAGCCCCGGUAAACGGCGGCCGUAACUAUAACGGUCCUAAGGUAGCGAAAUUCCUUGUCGGGUAAGUUCCGACCUGCACGAAUGGCGUAAUGAUGGCCAGGCUGUCUCCACCCGAGACUCAGUGAAAUUGAACUCGCUGUGAAGAUGCAGUGUACCCGCGGCAAGACGGAAAGACCCCGUGAACCUUUACUAUAGCUUGACACUGAACAUUGAGCCUUGAUGUGUAGGAUAGGUGGGAGGCUUUGAAGCGUGGACGCCAGUCUGCGUGGAGCCAACCUUGAAAUACCACCCUUUAAUGUUUGAUGUUCUAACGUUGGCCCCUGACCGGGGUUGCGGACAGUGUCUGGUGGGUAGUUUGACUGGGGCGGUCUCCUCCCAAAGCGUAACGGAGGAGCACGAAGGUUAGCUAAUCCUGGUCGGACAUCAGGAGGUUAGUGCAAUGGCAUAAGCUAGCUUGACUGCGAGCGUGACGGCGCGAGCAGGUGCGAAAGCAGGUCAUAGUGAUCCGGUGGUUCUGAAUGGAAGGGCCAUCGCUCAACGGAUAAAAGGUACUCCGGGGAUAACAGGCUGAUACCGCCCAAGAGUUCAUAUCGACGGCGGUGUUUGGCACCUCGAUGUCGGCUCAUCACAUCCUGGGGCUGAAGUAGGUCCCAAGGGUAUGGCUGUUCGCCAUUUAAAGUGGUACGCGAGCUGGGUUUAGAACGUCGUGAGACAGUUCGGUCCCUAUCUGCCGUGGGCGCUGGAGAAUUGAGGGGGGCUGCUCCUAGUACGAGAGGACCGGAGUGGACGCAUCACUGGUGUUCGGGUUGUCAUGCCAAUGGCACUGCCCGGUAGCUAAAUGCGGAAGAGAUAAGUGCUGAAAGCAUCUAAGCACGAAACUUGCCCCGAGAUGAGUUCUCCCUGAGACUUUAAGUCUCCUGAAGGAACGUUAAAGACGAUGACGUUGAUAGGCCGGGUGUGUAAGCGCAGCGAUGCGUUGAGCUAACCGGUACUAAUGAACCGUGAGGCUUAACCUUACAACGCCGAAG